UGAACAGAGGAUUACCCUGUGUGGGAUGCA
Molecule: non-coding RNA, 30 nt
Filed under: Homo sapiens (human)
Lineage: Eukaryota; Metazoa; Chordata; Mammalia; Primates; Hominidae
Source: RNAcentral